RNAcentral lists this unclassified non-coding RNA (272 nucleotides) under Hevea brasiliensis (rubber tree). The record is from RNAcentral. Lineage: Eukaryota; Viridiplantae; Streptophyta; Magnoliopsida; Malpighiales; Euphorbiaceae.
AGCGGUGGCGGCAUCGGCGCCCCCGGUGGUAGCGGCGUUGUCAGCAGCGGUGGCGGCGUCUGCGCGCCCGGUAGCAGUGGCAGUGGCGGUUUCAGGAUUGUCAGCCUGGUGAAGGGAGAGAUGACCGGCAAUGGCGGCAGCGGCGGGGGCCGCCAUCUUGAGAAUGGUUCUGCUUCUUGCUGAAAACUUAUGACAGAGACAUGUUGAUGUUGGUAGUGUUGUUCUUGGAGGUUUUCUUUCAUACUUUUUCUGUUUAGUUGAGCUGGGAAUGU